AGUGAACGCUGGCGGUAGGCCUAACACAUGCAAGUCGAACGGCAGCACAGUAAGAGCUUGCUCUUACGGGUGGCGAGUGGCGGACGGGUGAGGAAUACAUCGGAAUCUACUUUUUCGUGGGGGAUAACGUAGGGAAACUUACGCUAAUACCGCAUACGACCUACGGGUGAAAGCAGGGGAUCUUCGGACCUUGCGCGAUUGAAUGAGCCGAUGUCGGAUUAGCUAGUUGGCGGGGUAAAGGCCCACCAAGGCGACGAUCCGUAGCUGGUCUGAGAGGAUGAUCAGCCACACUGGAACUGAGACACGGGCCAGACUCCUAAGGGAGGCAGCAGUGGGGAAUAUUGGACAAUGGGGGCAAGCCUGAUCCAGCCAUACCGCGUUGGUGAAGAAGGCCUUCGGGUUGUAAAGCCCUUUUGGUGGGAAAGAAAAGCAGCAGGGUAAUACCCCGCUGUUCUGACGGUACCCAAAGAAUAAGCACCGGCUAACUUCGUG
This 492-nucleotide ribosomal RNA is filed under the name uncultured bacterium. Its description in RNAcentral is "partial 16S ribosomal RNA". It matches the Rfam family "Bacterial small subunit ribosomal RNA", at positions 29 to 507 of the family's 1533-position model. The record is from RNAcentral.